Molecule: ribosomal RNA, 464 nt
Filed under: uncultured bacterium
Lineage: Bacteria
Description: partial 16S ribosomal RNA
Rfam family: Bacterial small subunit ribosomal RNA
Source: RNAcentral
ACGAACGCUGGCGGCGUGCUUCACCCAUGCAAGUCGCACGGAAAGGCCCUGCUUGCAGGGUACUCGAGUGGCGAACGGGUGAGUAACACGUGGGUGAUCUGCCCUGCACUUCGGGAUAAGCCUGGGAAACUGGGUCUAAUACCGGAUAGGAGCCAUUUUUAGUGUGAUGGUUGGAAAGUUUUUUCGGUGUAGGAUGAGCUCGCGGCCUAUCAGCUUGUUGGUGGGGUAAUGGCCUACCAAGGCGGCGACGGGUAGCCGGCCUGAGAGGGUGGACGGCCACAUUGGGACUGAGAUACGGCCCAGACUCCUACGGGAGGCAGCAGUGGGGAAUAUUGCACAAUGGGCGCAAGCCUGAUGCAGCGACGCCGCGGGGGGGAUGACGGCCUUCGGGUUGUAAACUCCUUUCGCUAGGGACGAAGCUUUUUGUGACGGUACCUAGAUAAGAAGCACCGGCUAACUACGUG